UACGUAGGGUGCGAGCGUUGUCCGGAAUUAUUGGGCGUAAAGAGCUCGUAGGCGGCGUGUCACGUCGGCCGUGAAAACCUGCAGCUUAACUGUGGGCGUGCGGGCGAUACGGGCAGACUGGAGUACUGCAGGGGAGACUGGAAUUCCUGGUGUAGCGGUGGAAUGCGCAGAUAUCAGGAGGAACACCGGUGGCGAAGGCGGGUCUCUGGGCAGUAACUGACGCUGAGGAGCGAAAGCGUGGGGAGCGAACAGG
This 253-nucleotide ribosomal RNA is filed under the name uncultured bacterium. RNAcentral's name for it is "partial 16S ribosomal RNA". It matches the Rfam family "Bacterial small subunit ribosomal RNA", at positions 524 to 776 of the family's 1533-position model. The record is from RNAcentral.